AAGUAAGAAGCGAAUUAUUGCAAUCAGUUUCGACCUGAAAUUUGACAUAAAAUGUCCUUACUUA
This 64-nucleotide transfer RNA is filed under the name Heteropternis respondens. RNAcentral's name for it is "tRNA-Arg". The record is from RNAcentral. Lineage: Eukaryota; Metazoa; Arthropoda; Insecta; Orthoptera; Acrididae.